Molecule: ribosomal RNA, 253 nt
Filed under: uncultured bacterium
Lineage: Bacteria
Description: partial 16S ribosomal RNA
Rfam family: Bacterial small subunit ribosomal RNA
Source: RNAcentral
UACAGAGGUCCCAAGCGUUGUUCGGAUUCACUGGGCGUAAAGGGUGUGUAGGCGGUCAAAUAAGUUCAGGGUGAAAUCUCCGAGCUCAACUCGGAAACGGCCCUAAAUACUAUUUGGCUUGAGGGUUGGAGGGGGGACUGGAAUUCUCGGUGUAGCAGUGAAAUGCGUAGAUAUCGAGAGGAACAUCAGUGGCGAAGGCGAGUCCCUGGACAACAUCUGACGCUGAGACACGAAAGCUAGGGGAUCAAACAGG